AACGCGAAGAACCUUACCAAGGCUUGACAUAUACAGGAAUAUGGCAGAGAUGUCAUAGCCGCAAGGUCUGUAUACAGGUGGUGCAUGGUUGUCGUCAGCUCGUGUCGUGAGAUGUUGGGUUAAGUCCCGCAACGAGCGCAACCCUCGUUCUGUGUUGCCAGCAUUUAGUUGGGGACUCACAGGAGACUGCCGGGGUUAACUCGGAGGAAGGUGGGGAUGACGUCAAAUCAUCAUGCCCCUUAUGUCUUGGGCUGCACGCAUGCUACAAUGGCUGGUACAAACGGCUGCGAUACCGCAAGGUGGAGCGAAUCCGAUAAAGCCAGUCUCAGUUCGGAUUGGGGUCUGCAACUCGACCCCAUGAAGUCGGAGUUGCUAGUAAUCGUAGAUCAGCAACGCUACGGUGAAUACGUUCCCGGGUCUUGUACACACCG
RNAcentral lists this ribosomal RNA (431 nucleotides) under uncultured Actinomycetes bacterium. Its description in RNAcentral is "bacterial SSU rRNA". It matches the Rfam family "Bacterial small subunit ribosomal RNA", at positions 958 to 1392 of the family's 1533-position model. Lineage: Bacteria; Bacillati; Actinomycetota; Actinomycetes. The record is from RNAcentral.